GGACAAUGGGGGAAACCCUGAUCCAGCCAUCCCGCGUGUGCGAUGAAGGCCUUCGGGUUGUAAAGCACUUUUGGCAGGAAAGAAACGUCAUGGGUUAAUACCCCGUGAAACUGACGGUACCUGCAGAAUAAGCACCGGCUAACUACGUGC
This 150-nucleotide ribosomal RNA is filed under the name uncultured bacterium. Its description in RNAcentral is "partial 16S ribosomal RNA". It matches the Rfam family "Bacterial small subunit ribosomal RNA", at positions 366 to 508 of the family's 1533-position model. The record is from RNAcentral.